AUUGAACGCUGGCGGCAGGCCUAACACAUGCAAGUCGAACGGUAACAGGAAGAAGCUUGCUUCUUUGCUGACGAGUGGCGGACGGGUGAGUAAUGUCUGGGAAACUGCCUGAUGGAGGGGGAUAACUACUGGAAACGGUAGCUAAUACCGCAUAACGUCGCAAGACCAAAGAGGGCGACCUUCGGGCCUCUUGCCAUCGGAUGUGCCCAGAUGGGAUUAGCUAGUAGGUGGGGUAACGGCUCACCUAGGCGACGAUCCCUAGCUGGUCUGAGAGGAUGACCAGCCACACUGGAACUGAGACACGGUCCAGACUCCUACGGGAGGCAGCAGUGGGGAAUAUUGCACAAUGGGCGCAAGCCUGAUGCAGCCAUGCCGCGUGUAUGAAGAAGGCCUUCGGGUUGUAAAGUACUUUCAGCGGGGAGGAAGGGAGUAAAGUUAAUACCUUUGCUCAUUGACGUUACCCGCAGAAGAAGCACCGGCUAACUCCGUG
Molecule: ribosomal RNA, 490 nt
Filed under: uncultured bacterium
Lineage: Bacteria
Description: partial 16S ribosomal RNA
Rfam family: Bacterial small subunit ribosomal RNA
Source: RNAcentral